CUACAAGUAAGCUAAAUUAAAGCUUUUGGGCCCAUAACCCAACUAUAGUAAUACUCUUGCAGA
Molecule: transfer RNA, 63 nt
Filed under: Meghimatium bilineatum
Lineage: Eukaryota; Metazoa; Mollusca; Gastropoda; Stylommatophora; Philomycidae
Description: tRNA-Met
Source: RNAcentral